RNAcentral lists this ribosomal RNA (194 nucleotides) under uncultured eukaryote. RNAcentral's name for it is "partial 18S ribosomal RNA". It matches the Rfam family "Eukaryotic small subunit ribosomal RNA", at positions 1 to 184 of the family's 1831-position model. The record is from RNAcentral.
GCAACCUGGUUGAUCCUGCCAGUAGUCAUAUGCUUGUUUCAAGGAUUAAGCCAUGCAAGUCUCAGAGUAAAUGGAUUGACAGUGGAUCUGCAGACGGCUCAUUAAAUCAGCUGCAAUCUGCGCCGGGAAGGAGCUAGAAGGCACCCAUUUGGAUAACAAGCGUAACUCGCUUGCUAAUACAUGUCCGAAAAUUC